This 2880-nucleotide ribosomal RNA is filed under the name Acinetobacter baumannii. RNAcentral's name for it is "bacterial LSU rRNA". It matches the Rfam family "Bacterial large subunit ribosomal RNA". The record is from RNAcentral. Lineage: Bacteria; Pseudomonadati; Pseudomonadota; Gammaproteobacteria; Moraxellales; Moraxellaceae.
CUUGGCAGUCAGAGGCGAUGAAAGACGUGAUAGCCUGCGAAAAGCUCCGGGGAGGCGGCAAAUAUCCUUUGAUCCGGAGAUGUCUGAAUGGGGGAACCCACCUACUUUAAGGUAGGUAUUGCAACAUGAAUACAUAGUGUUGCAAGGCGAACGAGGGGAAGUGAAACAUCUCAGUACCCUUAGGAAAAGAAAUCAAUUGAGAUUCCCUCAGUAGCGGCGAGCGAACGGGGAUCAGCCCAUUAAGUUAUGUGUGUUUUAGUGGAACGCUCUGGGAAGUGCGAACGUAGAGGGUGAUAUUCCCGUACACGAAAGGGCACACAUAAUGAUGACGAGUAGGGCGAGGCACGUGAAACCUUGUCUGAAUAUGGGGGGACCAUCCUCCAAGGCUAAAUACUCCUGACUGACCGAUAGUGAACCAGUACCGUGAGGGAAAGGCGAAAAGAACCCCUGUGAGGGGAGUGAAAUAGAUCCUGAAACCGCAUGCAUACAAGCAGUGGGAGCACCUUCGUGGUGUGACUGCGUACCUUUUGUAUAAUGGGUCAGCGACUUAUAUUCAGUAGCGAGGUUAACCGUAUAGGGGAGCCGUAGAGAAAUCGAGUCUUAAUAGGGCGUUUAGUUGCUGGGUAUAGACCCGAAACCAGGCGAUCUAUCCAUGAGCAGGUUGAAGGUUGGGUAACACUAACUGGAGGACCGAACCCACUGUCGUUGAAAAGCCAGGGGAUGACUUGUGGAUAGGGGUGAAAGGCUAAUCAAGCCUGGUGAUAGCUGGUUCUCCCCGAAAGCUAUUUAGGUAGCGCCUCGGACGAAUACCAUAGGGGGUAGAGCACUGUUUCGGCUAGGGGGUCAUCCCGACUUACCAAACCGAUGCAAACUCCGAAUACCUAUGAGUACUAUCCGGGAGACAGACUGCGGGUGCUAACGUCCGUAGUCAAGAGGAAAACAAUCCAGACCGCCAGCUAAGGCCCCAAAAUCAUAGUUAAGUGGGAAACGAUGUGGGAAGGCAUAGACAGCUAGGAGGUUGGCUUAGAAGCAGCCACCCUUUAAAGAAAGCGUAAUAGCUCACUAGUCGAGUCGGCCUGCGCGGAAGAUGUAACGGGGCUAAAACUAUGUGCCGAAGCUGCGGAUGUAUACUUUGUAUACGUGGUAGGGGAGCGUUCUGUAAGCCGAUGAAGGUGUGUUGAGAAGCAUGCUGGAGGUAUCAGAAGUGCGAAUGCUGACGUGAGUAACGACAAAACGGGUGAAAAACCCGUUCGCCGAAAGACCAAGGGUUCCAGUCCAACGUUAAUCGGGGCUGGGUGAGUCGACCCCUAAGGCGAGGCCGAAAGGCGUAGUCGAUGGGAAAAUGGUUAAUAUUCCAUUACUUCUGUGUAAUGCGAUGAGAGGACGGAGAAGGCUAAAUCAGCCUGGCGUUGGUUGUCCAGGUGAAAGGAUGUAGGCAUGUAUCUUAGGCAAAUCCGGGGUACUCUAUGCUGAGAUCUGAUAGCAAGCUGUACUUGUACAGCGAAGUGGUUGAUGCCAUGCUUCCAGGAAAAGUCUCUAAGCUUCAGUUACACAGGAAUCGUACCCGAAACCGACACAGGUGGUCAGGUCGAGUAGACCAAGGCGCUUGAGAGAACUCUGCUGAAGGAACUAGGCAAAAUGGUACCGUAACUUCGGGAGAAGGUACGCUGUUGUUGGUGAUGGAACUCGCUUCCUGAGCUGACGACAGCCGCAGAAACCAGGCCGCUGCAACUGUUUAUUAAAAACAUAGCACUCUGCAAACACGAAAGUGGACGUAUAGGGUGUGAUGCCUGCCCGGUGCUGGAAGGUUAAUUGAUGGGGUUAGCGUAAGCGAAGCUCUUGAUCGAAGCCCCAGUAAACGGCGGCCGUAACUAUAACGGUCCUAAGGUAGCGAAAUUCCUUGUCGGGUAAGUUCCGACCUGCACGAAUGGCAUAAUGAUGGCGGCGCUGUCUCCAGCAGAGGCUCAGUGAAAUCGAAAUCGCUGUGAAGAUGCAGUGUACCCGCGGCUAGACGGAAAGACCCCGUGAACCUUUACUGCAGCUUGACACUGAACUUUGACCUUACUUGUGUAGGAUAGGUGGGAGGCUUUGAAGCUGGAACGCUAGUUCCAGUGGAGCCGUCCUUGAAAUACCACCCUGGUAAUGUUGAGGUUCUAACUCUGUCCCGUGAUCCGGGACGAGGACCGUGUCUGGUGGGUAGUUUGACUGGGGCGGUCUCCUCCUAAAGAGUAACGGAGGAGUACGAAGGUGCGCUCAGCGUGGUCGGAAAUCACGCGUAGAGUAUAAAGGCAAAAGCGCGCUUAACUGCGAGACCCACAAGUCGAGCAGGUACGAAAGUAGGUCUUAGUGAUCCGGUGGUUCUGUAUGGAAGGGCCAUCGCUCAACGGAUAAAAGGUACUCUGGGGAUAACAGGCUGAUACCGCCCAAGAGUUCAUAUCGACGGCGGUGUUUGGCACCUCGAUGUCGGCUCAUCUCAUCCUGGGGCUGAAGCAGGUCCCAAGGGUAUGGCUGUUCGCCAUUUAAAGAGGUACGCGAGCUGGGUUUAGAACGUCGUGAGACAGUUCGGUCCCUAUCUACCGUGGGCGCUGGAAAUUUGAGAGGAUCUGCUCCUAGUACGAGAGGACCAGAGUGGACGAACCUCUGGUGUACCGGUUGUGACGCCAGUCGCAUCGCCGGGUAGCUAUGUUCGGAAGGGAUAACCGCUGAAAGCAUCUAAGCGGGAAGCCUACCUCAAGAUAAGAUUUCCCUAGGACUUUAUGUCCUCUAAAGAGCCGUUCGAGACUAGGACGUUGAUAGGUUGGAUGUGGAAGCAUAGUGAUAUGUGAAGCUGACCAAUACUAAUUGCUCGUGAGGCUUGACUAUACAACACCCAAGCAGUUG